UCCACGCUGUAAACGAUGUCAACUAGCCGUUGGUCUCCUUGAGGGGGCAGUGGCGCAGCUAACGCGAUAAGUUGACCGCCUGGGGAGUACGGCCGCAAGGUUAAAACUCAAAUGAAUUGACGGGGGCCCGCACAAGCGGUGGAGCAUGUGGUUUAAUUCGAUGCAACGCGAAGAACCUUACCAGGUCUUGACAUCCCGAGAAGUCGCUAGAGAUAGCUUCGUGCCUUCGGGAACUCGGUGACAGGUGCUGCAUGGCUGUCGUCAGCUCGUGUCGUGAGAUGUUGGGUUAAGUCCCGUAAG
This 300-nucleotide ribosomal RNA is filed under the name uncultured Gammaproteobacteria bacterium. RNAcentral describes it as "bacterial SSU rRNA". It matches the Rfam family "Bacterial small subunit ribosomal RNA", at positions 794 to 1093 of the family's 1533-position model. Lineage: Bacteria; Pseudomonadati; Pseudomonadota; Gammaproteobacteria. The record is from RNAcentral.